Molecule: non-coding RNA, 24 nt
Filed under: Arabidopsis thaliana (thale cress)
Lineage: Eukaryota; Viridiplantae; Streptophyta; Magnoliopsida; Brassicales; Brassicaceae
Source: RNAcentral
GCUUGAACAAGUAAUUUUGGGUCC